Molecule: ribosomal RNA, 558 nt
Filed under: Mucor sp. BJ16
Lineage: Eukaryota; Fungi; Mucoromycota; Mucoromycetes; Mucorales; Mucoraceae
Description: eukaryotic LSU rRNA
Rfam family: 5.8S ribosomal RNA (bases 178-330)
Source: RNAcentral
UCUAUUUACUGUGAACUGUAUUAUUAUUUGACGUUUGAGGGAUGUUCCAAUGUUAUAAGGAUAGACAUUGGAGAUGUUAACCGAGUCAUAAUCAGGUUUAGGCCUGGUAUCCUAUUAUUAUUUACCAAAUGAAUUCAGAAUUAAUAUUGUAACAUAGACCUAAAAAAUCUAUAAAACAACUUUUAACAACGGAUCUCUUGGUUCUCGCAUCGAUGAAGAACGUAGCAAAGUGCGAUAACUAGUGUGAAUUGCAUAUUCAGUGAAUCAUCGAGUCUUUGAACGCAACUUGCGCUCAUUGGUAUUCCAAUGAGCACGCCUGUUUCAGUAUCAAAACAAACCCUCUAUCCAACUUUUGUUGUAUAGGAUUAUUGGGGGCCUCUCGAUCUGUAUAGAUCUUGAAACCCUUGAAAUUUACUAAGGCCUGAACUUGUUUAAUGCCUGAACUUUUUUUUAAUAUAAAGGAAAGCUCUUGUAAUUGACUUUGAUGGGGCCUCCCAAAUAAAUCUUUUUUAAAUUUGAUCUGAAAUCAGGUGGGAUUACCCGCUGAACUUAAGCAUA